GUAAAUUCUCCCUCUUGUCGCAUCCUCCCCAACAUCCCGGAGUAUGUUAGUUAGCUGAUUUGCGAUCCCUAAUGCCAGAGCAGCAUUGUAGACACUUUCCGUCGUAGCCUCUGAAUCUGGUGCAAUUCCCAUGACUGGAACGCUCAUCAAUCCGACUGUUCCGGCAACAUAGUAGCAGUAGAGAUAGAGCUCAUCGAAAUUCUCGUAUCUGGACUUCUUGAGGUCCAUCCUCAUCCCCUCAAUCAUGUCCUUAAAUGGCUGUAUGUCUACGGGGAACUCUGAUACCGUAUCAGACAAAGCAGCAUCUAGCAUGUCAUACGGCCGGCCGGCAAACAAAUCUUCCAAUCUCAACUGCCACCUGUCCAAUGCUGAAGGCGUGAUGUGAGAUGCAUUUGGCCCGUCUACAAGCUCAUCUGUCCUCCUGCACCACACAUAGAUUGCCCAAAUAGCCCUCCGUCUCUCCGGCGUCAUGAGCAAAGUACCCAAAUAGAAGGUCUUGGCAUACUCUGCGCAGAUCUCUCCACACCUCUCAUAGGCCUCCCUCAACA
This 548-nucleotide unclassified non-coding RNA is filed under the name Hevea brasiliensis (rubber tree). The record is from RNAcentral. Lineage: Eukaryota; Viridiplantae; Streptophyta; Magnoliopsida; Malpighiales; Euphorbiaceae.